CGCCCUGAGGGGAGGGAGCGAGAAGCGAAACUGCGUCAGUAAUAAACGCAGCCUUGCAAAACUCACUCAGUCAGUAAUAAACACCGCCUUGCAAAACUCAGUCGGUAAUAAACACGGCCUUGCUGGGUGUUUCUGGUAGCUGUGUAUUAGUUUUUACUGAAUUAAGUGUAGUACCCAGAGAAGGAAAGGAGGAGACAUCGCCCAUGGUUGUAGAUGAUUUUAAAUUAAAUAUUUUAUGACAGCCAAUGGGCUUUAGUUUGCACUUAGCAGAUGGGGGUUGCAAAUUUCUGUAAGCACCGUUUACUCCUGGAAACAGAGCAGCAACUCCCGAGUUUUGGCUCCCAUAUCAGACGUAGCUUCAGUUGUUUGGACUGGAGUAUUUUAGUUGUCAUUCAGUCAGAAAAACAAUCCUGCAGAGGAAACCAAGAAACAAGUCCUGGAAAUCAGUUCUCAGACAAGACAAUUCUUCGAGCACACCCUAAAGCAAAUGGGAGACUGCACUCACUACAAGAAGGCAUGCAAUAAGAAAUAUUGGUGACUGUUCUCAUGUAAGACAGAGAUGAAGUGCUUAAUGGCAUUACAAGGGGAGAAAAGACAUGCUUGUCUUUUUUCAUUUCAGACAUCUAAUGAAGGAUUACCAUUCAGAAAAAAGAAGACAGUAGAGCAGAGCACUUGGAGUAUGUCUGCAUCAGAUCAAGGUCAUUGUCAGCCCAAAAAUCUAGUGAAACACAUUUGUUCAAUGCAGAGGUACAAGGUCUUUCCCACUGUGAAAUGCCAGGCUGUAACAUUUAUACCUCAAAACUUUCGCUAGGCAGACUUAUAAAAGCUGGCUAACUGAGGUUUCUGCACACAGUUACAAAACAUGCAUUACAAUGAUCCAUACAUGGUCAUUAUAGCUGAGCUAUCCUUGUCAUUGAGCAAGCACAGAGUGCUCCACGAGGAAGGGAUAUCCGAGCAGCAAGGCAAACAGAGUGCCAUCACCCCAAAAAAGAGCCAGUCUGCAGUGCUAAUGAUGACAGGUCUAUAGAUAGUCUUCAGCCAAAAGUGGAGAUUAACAGAUGAAUGAGUGAUGGUAACAGAUAACAUGAUGAUGAGAUAAAUCCAAGGUCAAGCCAGGAGGUCAAAUCCAUGUGGAUUCAGAUCAACAGGGUUCCUAGCCAGGUGUGGGCACAGGUGCAAUAUAGUUCUGGCAGAAAACAAGUGUGAGAGCCCAGCCUAAUUCCCCAGCAGAUCCUGGAGAAAGGUGAGAAGUCCCUGUAAGGGCUUUUCAGGCGACACUUCUGCAUGUGGCUUCACGGCUGAAGAGCUGUGCUCUCUGUAUUGGCCAUGAGAGCAGCUGGGUAGCUUCCAGGAGAGAGGGGCAUGCUCAGGGAGCAUAGCUGCUUAAAACCCAUGUCAGGAUUGUGUUUCCUUUUUAUUAUUCGCUUUAUACAUAAUAUAUAAAAAUUAGAUUUUUUUUGUGAACUAGGUAUCAGCAAGCUGUGUGGAGAUUCAGUGAAUAUCAGGACUCUGGUUGCUAUUUAUGUCUUUGAGAAUCUCUUUUUGAAAUUUUAAAAACCAGGAAAUUAUUUUAUAGGAACUAAAUUGUAAAGAAGGUGAGGGUCUGGAAGAAAUCUGUAAGAUGAGAAGAUACAGCUCAAGUCCUAACUAGUGUUUGACAGCAGAGCACUGAAAUACUUUAUAGUGUAAUCAUCUGACAUAUGCUUCUUGACAACCAGACUACACUAGAAAUCAUUAAGGAUUCCACUUUGGAGUGUACUCUCUGAAGGGAGAGGGAUAUCAAAAAAAUAGGAGAAAAAGCAAUUAGCAGUAGACCUAGACAAUAUAAAAUUGAGCUAGUGGAAAAUAAAAAACUCUUUAUAAAUAUGACUUCAUAUGCUCACAUUUCUCCUUGCAGUAGGUUCUCAAGUUUUCCAUUCUGGAACUAGCACAUUAUUGUGAAAAGCAAAGACAUGUGCCAGGAAUUUCAGUUAAAGUGAGUCUAAAAAAAUCAGAUGGUAGUUGCAUGUGGCUACAAAGGAUACCUUAUUUUAUUCCCUACAGGUAUGUCACAUAAGGUAUUUGGGUUUCAAAUCAAACCAGUUUUAUUUUCUGUCUUUCCUUUCAGUGACCAUUUAAGCUACUAUUUUUUGGGUUACAGCUACAAUUCUAGUGGUAGAUUGAUCUCUGGGUAAAGAAGUUCCCGACUGCCCAGUGUUUUCUGACAGAAGAAAGUCAUGUCUGACUUCAGCAGCAAAAGUAAUGUAGCAAAAGUACCAGAGAAUCCUGAAUAGCAGAGAAAUCUUUUCAGGUUCAGUAGCACACAAAAAUCUUAUUCUCCCACUAGACUACUUCUGUCAAUUAGUCAAUCACAAAACAUUCUACAAAGUGGCAUUAUGCAAAGUGAAGUUUUACUCCACUUGAGGCACAGAUUAAAAAAGCUUAUUGAGACAAAUUCUCUAUCAACAGAAAGCAUGACUUUUACGUUUCUCUAUAACUGACAUGUAUUGUAAUUACAGAAUGAGAGUGUUUGCAUGGUAGUGAUCCCAGGCUGCAUUUGCAAUCAAUUGUUUGCAUACAAAACUCCAUGGACAAAGUGUUAAUUCAUUCAACUUCAACUGUUAAAACAGUUGAAAUAUCUGUUUUUAUUUGUUGUUGUUGUUGAAUCUGCCUUUAUUCCCAUAUUGGGUUACAGAAAAUAGGAUGAUCCUUUUUUUCCUGUGAAGAAAUGAGAGAAUACAUUUGUGUAAAGUAUCUUGAUACAUAGUAACUGUCAGAAAGCAGAGUGGUGGAGACUUCGAGCAUUUAAAAAGGAUACAGAACAAUCUAACUGUUCUUUGUGUAGCUGGGAUCAGUAUUGAACUGAAAUUAUAGCAAGAUAGAAGCUAGUGGGGCUAUAGAGAAACCCUUCUACCAAGGAAGUGUACUGAAGCUUGGAUUAUACCACAAAGGAAGGGCUAGAGGCUCCAUUUCCAAUGAUUAUUAAAAACAGGUUAGGCAAACAUCUCUAUAGCCUGCCAUAUGCAGAAAUUAUCAUGACUUGAGGAAAGAAAAUAGUCUGGAUCUCUUUUUCUUUUUUGGAUUGGUCCAAAGAAAUUAUCAAUAAGGCUCAAUGUUCCUUCAGUUAAGAGACACCCUGUCUUGGGGAACUCUCAGUGUCUCUUAGGAAUUCCUGAUCAUAUCACAUCCUAGAAACGUGGAAGCAAUUGUGGCUUAUAAGGACAUCUUUCUGGUGGAGAGAAGGGCUGUGUGCAAUGUCCAUAGAUGUGCAAUACUAAUCAUACGUAAAAAUAUGAUCUUCGGAAAAUCAUUGAAGAGUUCUGGAAGAAGGAAUGACUAAUACAAUGAGAAGUGAUAAGGACAGGAAAAACUUAUUCAGGUAAAAGGCAGAUUUCAGUUGAAUGCCACUACUACCAGUGGAAUGACGAGUGUAUCUGAGGAUCAUGAUGCAGGUGAAGAAGACAUACAGCUGCUGUAUGUCACUAUUACCCAGCUCCUCCAGUAGAUCUUAAGAGCAGCCAGGGUUUCUGUUCUUACGCACUGUAACGUUUCUGCGUGUGUGGGAGGACUGAAAGAUGGGAGGAAUUUGAGAACAUCAGUAAUGUUCUGCUCAGCUGGAAAACUCAAAUUAUUCUGUGCUGAACUGGACCCACUCUUCUUAAGCCUCCCAGGCAGUCAUCCUGACAAACUGAAAUUCAUUCUCACGUUCUCAGACUUGCUGAAUGCCCUUUGAACAGCUGCAGCAUUGACAUGCUAUAUUACAGUAUCAGAAACACAAAGAUUUGUUCAGGAAAAUCCCUUCUGCAGAAAUCUAUAUUAAGUUAUGUACCUAGGCUAGGAUUUUCUAAAGUUUAACCUGGAUUACUUUGGAAAUAAAAUUCUUGGUGGCUUUUCUGAGAACUGAGUCCCUUUUUUCUUAUCCAGUCUCUUUGGAGGCUUUCAGUCAUAUAUUACAUCAAAUAACUAACAUCACCAAUAUUUUCAGUUAAUGACAUAUUCACUGUUACCUGUUACUUUUUAACCUGUAAGUAUUUUCCUUGCAGGAUUUUAGAUUAUCAUUAUUCUCUCUUCUCUUUGGAAGAAGAAAAAUUACAUAUUGUUUACAUCAUGAAAAUUCUACAAUGUUUGGUUCUUUUCCAGAAUAGUUCAUGUACUGGUCAAUUGUCUAAACAGAGAACAGUCUUAUUCUUAAGGAAACAUGUUUCUUCUUCAAGUCUGUGACGUGUCCUGGGUGACAGUCUUCAUACAACCUGGAGGAAGUAUACAAGAUACUUUUCAUUUCAAGUGUUGAUGUAUUUUCUAACAUUUUUGAAAUAAACUAAAUAUUUAGACUUGUUUAGUGACGCAGACCAAAUCCAAAGUACAGCAGCAGAACAAGCCUUCCUAUGAUGCAUCAUGAAUUAGAGUUAACCUGAGGAAUGCAUCUAUAAAAGCAUUCAUUUGUUCAGUAUUCCCAGUAACCUGAGAGUGCAGGGAAAAUUACCUGCCAUCUUCACCAAUUAAUACCACAUGCUUUUUUGAGCUUUCUCUUAGUUUCUGAGGUUUGUACAACAUUGUGGGUGGUCAUCAGAAUAAGCAGUUUCUUUGCUGUAAUUUUCACUGGCUGUAGUUACCUUUUUUGCUUUCCUACUGCCUCCCUGCUCUGCUCCUUUGUGUACGUAUGUAACUGCUACUUCUGCUGUAAGUAAACUGCCAUCAAAGAUCAAUCAGCUAACAUUAACCUUUCAGAUCUUUGAAAACCAAUGUCAUCACUUCUUUCUUUAAGGUAUGAUUACUUUUUUUUAGCUUAAGACCUCUUUGAAAUUGUCUCAAGCUUUCAAUAUUUUGAAAAAUGUAUUAGAGAAAUGAAGAGGUACUGCAAAGGUAAGUCAUGGUGUGUGUGCAAGGCUCAGGAUCUUGCUUACUGCUCUCCAGCAUUUCUUCAGACCACACUUUAUUACCUGUUCAGAUCUCCCAGCAGUACUGGGAGGGCACUCCCAGACGUACUGAGGGCACUCAGUACCUCUGAAACUACGAAUCUACUGUGCAACUUCUUAUGUUUAGUCUUUUAAUUAAAUAAUCUGUAAUUCUGGAGAAACUCAGGUGUUAUUUUUUUAAUCUGCUAAUCCAGGCUCAGAUGAAGUGUAAACCUCACUGAACCAUAUGAGCUCACAUGUAUGUUACUUGAAUAAGUGUUUGCAACAAGAAUGAUUAGAAAAAGACAAAGGGUGGGAGGAAGAAAACACUGAAUCCUUUUAAGGUAAUGCAUAAUAAUAAUUGUCAUAAUCAUCAUCAUCAUCAUAGCAGUUGUAACCAGAUCAGGCUUUUGAUUCAGUUGUCCAGUUCAUUCCAUAAACAAAAGAAAGCUUGGAAGACCAGCAUCAUGAGAAGAGAACAAGAAGCCCAUGCUGAAAGGCCUCUUUUUGCACAUGUAAUUGUUUGCUUCAAUGUGGAUUUACAAGAUAAAAGUCAACACCCUUUGUCUGUAAGGCUGCAUUACACACGUCAGCAAGACCCUUUUUCUACAGGCUGAGAAUGCAUAAACAAAUUAUUAGGGCGACCCAGCGCAGGUGUGAUCACUUCUUGUGCUGUGGUACUGUGACCACGCGCCAGAGCCCUGGAAAUUUCUUGUGGCUGCGCAGUGCAUCCCUCUGCUCUUGGGCAAGUGUAGAAGGCCACCAUCUGCUGCUCUGAACCCCCUGGUGAGAACCUGAAAUUGAGCAGGUUUUGUGCUGCGCUACUGCUCUCUACUCCAUUUGCAGCAGUUUGUGCAUCGAGAGAGGACUUUUCUUGCACCAGACCGUGCGCUGUGGGUGCAUCAAGAGGAGCCUUUCCUUAAACCAGACCGAGCGCUGUGAGUGCAU
This is a long non-coding RNA of Passer domesticus (house sparrow), 5822 nucleotides long. RefSeq lists it as uncharacterized. Lineage: Eukaryota; Metazoa; Chordata; Aves; Passeriformes; Passeridae. The record is from RefSeq and is a predicted model, not a curated record. The transcript has 5 exons.